UGCAGCAAAAGAACGUCAGAGAGCCUUCAGGUACGAUGAAAACUGAAGAGCAAGCCAUUGGGUGUGAGGAGCCAAAGAAAUUGGCCAACACAGUGCCUCCUGCAGAGGGAGUACAAAAUUCAGGUGUUGAUGGGGUUACGGAAGACCCCCUUGGGGAUGCUCGGAAGAUGGUACAAGAGGAGAUUAACCGUGAAUUUGCUGCAAUGAUGGCGACUGGGACAUUGCGUGCGAGUGAGGCUGCAGCCCUUGCCAUGAAGAAAGUAAUGCAAAAAUAUGGACACAUGAAUG
This 288-nucleotide long non-coding RNA is filed under the name Citrus sinensis (sweet orange). Its description in RNAcentral is "long non-coding RNA (CSIN_LNC002339)". The record is from RNAcentral. Lineage: Eukaryota; Viridiplantae; Streptophyta; Magnoliopsida; Sapindales; Rutaceae.